RNAcentral lists this ribosomal RNA (107 nucleotides) under Danio rerio (zebrafish). Lineage: Eukaryota; Metazoa; Chordata; Actinopteri; Cypriniformes; Danionidae. The record is from RNAcentral.
UCUGACAUAAAUUAAGCCCUGGUGGUCGCCCAUUGAAGUUAAGCAGGGCUCUGCCUGGUCAGUACCUGGAUGGGAGACCCCAUGGGAAAGCUAGGUUGCUGUCAGAA